GACGAACGCUGGCGGCGUGCUUAACACAUGCAAGUCGAACGGAAAGGCCCUGCUUGCAGGGUACUCGAGUGGCGAACGGGUGAGUAACACGUGGGUGAUCUGCCCUGCACUUCGGGAUAAGCCUGGGAAACUGGGUCUAAUACCGGAUAGGAGCCAUUUUUAGUGUGAUGGUUGGAAAGUUUUUUCGGUGUAGGAUGAGCGCGCGGCCUAUCAGCUUGUUGGUGGGGUAAUGGCCUACCAAGGCGGCGACGGGUAGCCGGCCUGAGAGGGUGGACGGCCACAUUGGGACUGAGAUACGGCCCAGACUCCUACGGGAGGCAGCAGUGGGGAAUAUUGCACCAUGGGCGCAAGCCUGAUGCAGCGACGCCGCGUGGGGGAUGACGGCCUUCGGGUUGUAAACUCCUUUCGCUAGGGACGAAGCUUUUUGUGACGGUACCUAGAUAAGAAGCACCGGCUAACUACGUG
This 465-nucleotide ribosomal RNA is filed under the name uncultured bacterium. RNAcentral describes it as "partial 16S ribosomal RNA". It matches the Rfam family "Bacterial small subunit ribosomal RNA", at positions 28 to 507 of the family's 1533-position model. The record is from RNAcentral.